GAAAUAUCGGAGUUUGAGCGAGGCCUGAUAGUGGGCACGCUGUAAAAAAUUAUUCAUGAGGUUAGUAAAUAUAACCGUGAUUACAGUAAGCUUACUGUACAUUUUUUUCUUCCAUUGUUUUUUUUUUAAGAUUUGAAGAAUGCAACAAUCACAGGAAAUUUGACUGUAAAGAAAGGAGAGACACUGAAUCUGAACUGCAGCGCUGAAAGUAAUUCACAUCCAUUAAACAUCUCCUGGAGUUUUAGAGGGGCUUCAGGUUCACUUCAGAAUAAAACUACUGACGACACACUCACCAUAACCAGUGUUAGCAGCGAACAUGCAGGGGAAUAUGUGUGCACCGUUCAGAAGUUCAAUCUGACUCUGAAUACCUCUGUAAAAGUCACUGUGAUAGAUCAACCCAUGAUCCUCAAUAAUUCAACACGUUUUCAGCUGGAGAAGUGCUCUUGUCUUUGUAAAGAUGUUGAAGGACGCCUAAAUGGAUCUGUUGUAAACAGCACCAUUAGAAUAAAUGGCAUGACGUGUGAAUGCGAGAACGAUGCUGGCAAUAAAACAUCAGGAAAAGGAGAGACUGAGAACUUACUGAGCGUAAGAUCAAUCCUCACAUUUCUGGUGGGAGCAGCAAGCACAGCAGUCAUCUUCUGCAUUGCGCUGUGCUUUGUUGGCAUGUGCAUAAGGUGUGGAACUGUCAAAGCAGUGGAUGGAAAUGCAAACAAAGCAGAUGUUAAACUGGAUGCUGUUAAAAUUCAACACAAUUCUGCUGGCACAGACCAAGCAGAAGAAGAUGAACACACUCCACUGCGAGGACGCCCUGCUGCAGCGGCCACACACACAGCUGCAGUGAGAGGUGAAGUCAAGGUGGAGGAAACACCAGGAAAAGACAGGCCUUCAGGAGAGGAGAAGGCAGCAGGAGAGAAAGAGCAGAACGAAGUGGACUACGCCUGUAUCGACUACUCACUUCUACAGGACAGAGGAGCUGAGGCCCAGAAGGAGCAAAGCGAGGAGACAGAGUACGCAGAGAUCCAGAUUAAGAAACAGGCUGAGGAAGAGGGAGCUGAGGACCUGCAGGGUGAAGAGGUCCAGGGUGAAGCCCAGGGGUUAGAGAAUCAAGAGCAGGUGGAGGGAGAGGAGGAGAUACAGGUGUAAUGCUUUGAAAUAAAGAGUUACUUUUAUGUUAAACUCCCGUACUG
Molecule: long non-coding RNA, 1187 nt
Filed under: Astyanax mexicanus (Mexican tetra)
Lineage: Eukaryota; Metazoa; Chordata; Actinopteri; Characiformes; Acestrorhamphidae
Description: lncRNA (ENSAMXG00005016025.1)
Source: RNAcentral